AUGGUGCCGGAGCUCGGCCUGCCUGCCCUGCGGGGGCUUGGCAAGGGGGGGUUAACUGGGAAAACUCGGCCCUCCUGGAAAACACAAAAGCCCGGAGAGUGGGGUAUGUCAUAUGGGGGGCGCGGGUGGCACCAACACAACCCACGACCGCGUUACGUGGUGCCACCCCCCGAGCCCCGUUUCCACAGGCGCGGGGGCAGCUCCGCCACCGCCGAUCUCCUCAGCCCAUCAGCGGCGAAGGCGAGGGGGGGGGCGCGGGUGAAGGGGCCUCUGCGCCGGGCGGCGGCCGGAGCGGGCCGGGCCGGGCCAGGCGGGGCGAGGCGGCUGGCGGGGAGUCAGAGGCCGCGGCUGUGUGGGCGGGACGCCGCCUCGCCCCGGCCCGGCCUUGCGGCAGCCCCGAAACGCAAACGACCCCCCCUCCCCCCCCAGCUCCGCAGUCAGGGAGGGGCGGGGGAAGGAGAAGGCGCGCGCCCGCGGGCGGGGCCGCCACCUCUAGGCGUGUCCCGCCGGCCCGCGCGCCGCCGGCGCCCGCGGCUGUUGGCGAGGCCUCCACCCUGUGGCGCGCCGGGGGAGGCGCGGGCUCGUGCUCGCGCCCUCGCCGUUGCCAUGGCCCCGCUUGACGUCACGGGCGGUGCGCUGCCCGUGCGCUGCGGCGCGGUGAUUGGCGGAGACGCCGUGUGUGGCGCUGGGAGAGAGGCUGCAGCGCAGCGAGCCGCGAGACAGGCACAGUCCGCGCCGGCCACCCGCCCCGAGACACCCGCCGCCGCGCUCCCGCCGCGCACAGGUAACGGGGCCCGCCGCGCCGCCCCGCCUCCGGGCCCCGCGCCGGGCGGCCGCCCCGGGACCUCGCCCUCCGCCCCCGGGGGGGUGGGGUGGGGUGGGGGGGCCGCGCGAGGGCGGCCGGCCGGCCGGCCGAUCGGGCGGCCGGCGGGCAGCGCCGAGCCCUCCCUACCCGCCCCCCUGCCUCCGGGGCCGGCGGGGUGGCUCCGCGGGGAGGGAGCAGGGCGGCGGGAGCGGCCCGUCCCGCGGGGGCCGCUGCGGGGGGCGGCGGGGGCCGCGCAGGUGAGGCCGCGGCUGCCCCUCCCCGCCGGCGAGGAGGGGAGGGGGAGGGGAAGAGCGGCCGGGGGCGGCGGGGCGGGGGGAGGGGGCGGCAGGUGA
RNAcentral lists this long non-coding RNA (1158 nucleotides) under Falco tinnunculus (common kestrel). RNAcentral describes it as "lncRNA (ENSFTIG00000015040.1)". The record is from RNAcentral. Lineage: Eukaryota; Metazoa; Chordata; Aves; Falconiformes; Falconidae.